GCUCCUGUACGAUCACUGAAGUUAAGCAAUGUCAAGCUUGAUUAGUACCUAGAUGGGUGACCGCUUGGGAAUACCAGGUAUUGUAAG
Non-coding RNA from Acanthosepion pharaonis, 87 nucleotides. NCBI's taxonomy places the organism in Eukaryota, Metazoa, Mollusca, Cephalopoda, Sepiida, Sepiidae. The record is from the annotation of a GenBank genome assembly.